Molecule: ribosomal RNA, 253 nt
Filed under: uncultured bacterium
Lineage: Bacteria
Description: partial 16S ribosomal RNA
Rfam family: Bacterial small subunit ribosomal RNA
Source: RNAcentral
UACGGGGGGGGCAAGCGUUGUUCGGAAUUACUGGGCGUAAAGGGCUCGUAGGUGGCCAACUAAGUCAUACGUGAAAUCCCUCGGCUUAACCGGGGAACUGCGUCUGAUACUGGAUGGCUUGAGGUUGGGAGAGGGAUGCGGAAUUCCAGGUGUAGCGGUGAAAUGCGUAGAUAUCUGGAAGAACACCAGUGGCGAAGGCGGCUCACUGGCCCGGUACUGACGCUGAGGUGCGAAAGCGUGGGGAGCAAACAGG